Molecule: ribosomal RNA, 253 nt
Filed under: uncultured bacterium
Lineage: Bacteria
Description: partial 16S ribosomal RNA
Rfam family: Bacterial small subunit ribosomal RNA
Source: RNAcentral
UACGUGGGGGGCAAGCGUUGUCCGGAAUCAUUGGGCGUAAAGAGCGUGUAGGCGGCCCGGUAAGUCCGCUGUGAAAGUCCAGGGCUCAACCCUGGGAUGCCGGUGGAUACUGUCGGGCUCGAGUCCGGAAGAGGAGUGUGGAAUUCCUGGUGUAGCGGUGAAAUGCGCAGAUAUCAGGAGGAACACCAAUGGCGAAGGCAGCACUCUGGGACGUGACUGACGCUGAGACGCGAAAGCGUGGGGAGCAAACAGG